GGGGGGGGCAAGCGUUGUUCGGAAUUACUGGGCGUAAAGGGCGCGUAGGCGGUUGGAUAAGUCAGCUGUGAAAACCACGGGCUUAACUCGUGGCCUGCAGUUGAGACUGUCUGGCUUGAGUGUGGGAGAGGAGAGUGGAAUUCCUGGUGUAGCGGUGAAAUGCGUAGAUAUCAGGAGGAACACCGGUGGCGAAGGCGGCUCUCUGGACCACAACUGACGCUGAGGCGCGAAAGCUAGGGGAGCAAACAGGAUUAGAUACCCUGGUAGUCCUAGCUGUAAACGAUGGAUACUUGCUGUGGGGGGUGUUAAAUCCCCCUGUGGCGGAGCUAACGCAUUAAGUAUCCCGCCUGGGGAGUACGGUCGCAAGGCUG
Molecule: ribosomal RNA, 371 nt
Filed under: uncultured bacterium
Lineage: Bacteria
Description: bacterial SSU rRNA
Rfam family: Bacterial small subunit ribosomal RNA
Source: RNAcentral